CCCUCCCCUAAAUCACUCCAAAAAAAACAAUCCCCAAUUCUACACAAGUGUUUCUACACUAACAAAGCAACAGCUCCUUAACGAAUUCCCAACUUUACACGAGCUCGUCUCUCGAGGUUAAAUGUUAUUACUUGGUAAGAUUCCGGACCUCGCCAAGUGUUUUGAAAACCCGCAACGCUCGCAAAGGUGCAUAGUGAGAAUAAUAAGUGAAGAGACAGACUUGUCCAAAACGCCCACCACGAAGGUGCAUAGUGAGAAGAGUAAGUCAAGAGACAGACUUGUCCAAAAAGAAACGGAAGAGAAAGCUUGGGGAGACGCUCACGAAGGUGCAUAGUGAGAAGAGUAAGUCAAGAGAUAGACUUGUUCAAAAAGAAACAGAAGAGAAUGCUUGGGGUUACACUCACGAAGGUGCAUAGUGAGAAGAGUAAGUCAAGAGACAGACUUGUUCAAAAAGAAACAAAAGAGAAUGCUUGGGGAGAUAGAAGUGUGAGAUAGUUCUCAAGCUAAGAAAGUUGUAAAAGCUAAGAACUAGCAAGUAAUCGUCCAGGAUUCCUCCACCAGGACUUGAAAUCGUCGAGGGAAAAAAAUCGGUUCCGAGGAAUCGUCGAUCCGGACUUGGAAUCGUCGAGAAAAGUUUACCGGGUCCGAGGAAUCGUCGAUCCGGACUUGGAAUCGUCGAGAAAAGUUUACCGGGUCCAAGGAUUUGUCGACCAGGAGUGGAAAUCGUCGAGAAAAAUCUAUCGGGUCCGAGGAAUCGUCGACCAGGACGAGGAAUCGCCGAC
This 782-nucleotide unclassified non-coding RNA is filed under the name Arabidopsis thaliana (thale cress). Its description in RNAcentral is "3' external transcribed spacer". Lineage: Eukaryota; Viridiplantae; Streptophyta; Magnoliopsida; Brassicales; Brassicaceae. The record is from RNAcentral.